This 1447-nucleotide ribosomal RNA is filed under the name Lactiplantibacillus plantarum. RNAcentral describes it as "bacterial SSU rRNA". It matches the Rfam family "Bacterial small subunit ribosomal RNA". The record is from RNAcentral. Lineage: Bacteria; Bacillati; Bacillota; Bacilli; Lactobacillales; Lactobacillaceae.
AUGCAAGUCGAACGAACUCUGGUAUUGAUUGGUGCUUGCAUCAUGAUUUACAUUUGAGUGAGUGGCGAACUGGUGAGUAACACGUGGGAAACCUGCCCAGAAGCGGGGGAUAACACCUGGAAACAGAUGCUAAUACCGCAUAACAACUUGGACCGCAUGGUCCGAGUUUGAAAGAUGGCUUCGGCUAUCACUUUUGGAUGGUCCCGCGGCGUAUUAGCUAGAUGGUGGGGUAACGGCUCACCAUGGCAAUGAUACGUAGCCGACCUGAGAGGGUAAUCGGCCACAUUGGGACUGAGACACGGCCCAAACUCCUACGGGAGGCAGCAGUAGGGAAUCUUCCACAAUGGACGAAAGUCUGAUGGAGCAACGCCGCGUGAGUGAAGAAGGGUUUCGGCUCGUAAAACUCUGUUGUUAAAGAAGAACAUAUCUGAGAGUAACUGUUCAGGUAUUGACGGUAUUUAACCAGAAAGCCACGGCUAACUACGUGCCAGCAGCCGCGGUAAUACGUAGGUGGCAAGCGUUGUCCGGAUUUAUUGGGCGUAAAGCGAGCGCAGGCGGUUUUUUAAGUCUGAUGUGAAAGCCUUCGGCUCAACCGAAGAAGUGCAUCGGAAACUGGGAAACUUGAGUGCAGAAGAGGACAGUGGAACUCCAUGUGUAGCGGUGAAAUGCGUAGAUAUAUGGAAGAACACCAGUGGCGAAGGCGGCUGUCUGGUCUGUAACUGACGCUGAGGCUCGAAAGUAUGGGUAGCAAACAGGAUUAGAUACCCUGGUAGUCCAUACCGUAAACGAUGAAUGCUAAGUGUUGGAGGGUUUCCGCCCUUCAGUGCUGCAGCUAACGCAUUAAGCAUUCCGCCUGGGGAGUACGGCCGCAAGGCUGAAACUCAAAGGAAUUGACGGGGGCCCGCACAAGCGGUGGAGCAUGUGGUUUAAUUCGAAGCUACGCGAAGAACCUUACCAGGUCUUGACAUACUAUGCAAAUCUAAGAGAUUAGACGUUCCCUUCGGGGACAUGGAUACAGGUGGUGCAUGGUUGUCGUCAGCUCGUGUCGUGAGAUGUUGGGUUAAGUCCCGCAACGAGCGCAACCCUUAUUAUCAGUUGCCAGCAUUAAGUUGGGCACUCUGGUGAGACUGCCGGUGACAAACCGGAGGAAGGUGGGGAUGACGUCAAAUCAUCAUGCCCCUUAUGACCUGGGCUACACACGUGCUACAAUGGAUGGUACAACGAGUUGCGAACUCGCGAGAGUAAGCUAAUCUCUUAAAGCCAUUCUCAGUUCGGAUUGUAGGCUGCAACUCGCCUACAUGAAGUCGGAAUCGCUAGUAAUCGCGGAUCAGCAUGCCGCGGUGAAUACGUUCCCGGGCCUUGUACACACCGCCCGUCACACCAUGAGAGUUUGUAACACCCAAAGUCGGUGGGGUAACCUUUUAGGAACCAGCCGCCUAAGGUGGGA